Molecule: long non-coding RNA, 1537 nt
Organism: Drosophila yakuba
Lineage: Eukaryota; Metazoa; Arthropoda; Insecta; Diptera; Drosophilidae
Exons: 2
Source: RefSeq, a predicted model, not a curated record
UUCCCGCUUGAUGUAGUCCUGCUUCCGUUCGCGCAAGAUCAGCCGCUUUUCGCACACUUUAACUGCAAGGAGAAGAUCGAAAGACAAUACGGUCAGAUAUGGGUUAAAAAAAGGAGACACAGUUGUAGAUCAAAUUACUGAUACAGAUAAGUCCGACUUGGCUGGCAAACCACAUUUUGCUUGCGGGAACCGCUCUUGGCAACAACAAAGACAUAGACAUAUACAUACCAAUGCAAGUGAUUAAAUAAUUGUAUUUAAAAAUGCGACAUAUGUAUGUAUGUACAAAUAAGCACACAAAAUGUACGCGUGAGAAUAAUAAAACAGCACACAAACCAGCUAGCACACAUGGUUUUUUUUUUCUGGCUCAACAGGCGACCAAAUUUUCACAGUCCGUUGGACUUCCCCCUAAAUUUUUGGUGGCCCAGUCAGAUAUUGCUUGUGACUCUUUUGUGACCUGGUGAAAUAAAGAGCAUUCAGUGUAGAGAGAACCGUAAAAGAGAAAUGAAGGGCCAUAGGCAAGGAAGACGGGGAACGAAAACGUGGAAGAGACGGCGGGGAAUUUUCAUUUCAAAACUCAGAUCAAAUUGCUAAAUUAACAGCGAGACAAACGAAAGCGAGCGCCCUUAGAGGAACUUGUUUUGACUUCCUUCCCUUUCCCGCUUUCGGGCCCCCCAGAAAUCACAGCAAGCCAGAACGUUUGAACGCGAUGGAGAACGCAGAGUUAAACAAAUUUUAAACUGGUUGUUGAACUGGAAUCCGCGAAGAAAGAGAAGAGGGCAGCAAGCGCAAGGGGGCAAGUGGGAACUACAAAGAUGGGCCGUGUGAAACGGUGUUUUAAACUUGCAUCCCACUCCAUCCCGCACGGGGUUAACGGUUAUUAUGAGGGCGAGUGAGAGAGUUCUGACCGCUUAUCAGUAGUUUCUCAUUUGGUUCUGCCCGCCGUUAUUUUUUUUCCAAUCACGAAUACGCUUUUGAUUGACAAUCGCAACGGAAAAUCACAAAUCUGGUGAAAAUAAUGCUAAAAAUAAUAAAUUAGCCCCAACCAUAUCUGUCGACAUUUCACACUAUCAUAAGUCUAUAGGCAAAAAUAAAUUUCAAGAUAAUUUUGCAUUUAUUUUUUUGCAGGUCCCUCUAUCAAGAUCAAAACAAAACGGUGUGCCAACAACUAUUCGCGGCAACAGAGGGUAAACAGAACAGGGAAAAAUCAAAUAGAAUAAAAAAUGAAAUCGGAAUCUUGUCUAAAAAACAUCGGGGCGAUAAGUCGUCGGUCGAGUGGCAACAAAAUAAACACAAAGAGGAAAAACAAAAUACAGCAAUUAAAAGAUUAACAAAGCACGGCGGCAGCAACAACAACUAACCGAGAAAUCAAAAGGAACAGAACGAAAAUGUUUUUUAUGCGUUUUAAAUUUCCCAAGCGAUAGAACAGCAUACAAAAGUGCGUAAAAACACAAUUGACCUUCAAAAAUUUUUUGCGCAAAAUAUAAAAACAAUGUGAUUAUCGCCCCGAUCCGAUGCAAUAAAAACAUUACCUUUUUCA